Molecule: ribosomal RNA, 253 nt
Filed under: uncultured bacterium
Lineage: Bacteria
Description: partial 16S ribosomal RNA
Rfam family: Bacterial small subunit ribosomal RNA
Source: RNAcentral
UACGUAGGGGGCAAGCGUUGUCCGGAUUUAUUGGGCGUAAAGAGCGUGUAGGCGGCCAGAUAGGUCAGCUGUGAAAACUCGAGGCUCAACCUCGAGAUGUCGGCUGAAACCAUCUGGCUAGAGUCCGGAAGAGGAGAAUGGAAUUCCCGGUGUAGCGGUGAAAUGCGCAGAUAUCGGGAAGAACACCCGUGGCGAAGGCGGUUCUCUGGGACGGUACUGACGCUGAGGCGCGAAAGCUAGGGGAGCAAACAGG